RNAcentral lists this ribosomal RNA (483 nucleotides) under uncultured bacterium. Its description in RNAcentral is "partial 16S ribosomal RNA". It matches the Rfam family "Bacterial small subunit ribosomal RNA", at positions 29 to 507 of the family's 1533-position model. The record is from RNAcentral.
AUUGACGCUAGCGGCAGGCAUAAUACAUGCAAGUUGAACGGCAGCACAGGUAGCAAUACUGGGUGGCGAGUGGCGCACGGGUGCGUAACACGUAUGCAACCUACCCUAUACAGGCGAAUAACCUUUAGAAAUGAGGGCUAAUACGCCGUAGUAUUACAGAUGGGCAUCUAUUUGUAAUUAAAGAUUUAUCGGUAUAGGAUGGGCAUGCGUCCCAUUAGUUAGUUGGUAAGGUAACGGCUUACCAAGACGAUGAUGGGUAGGGGAUCUGAGAGGACUUACCCCCACACUGGUACUGAGACACGGACCAGACUCCUACGGGAGGCAGCAGUAAGGAAUAUUGGGCAAUGGCCGCGAGGCUGACCCAGCCAUGCCGCGUGCAGGAAGACGGCCUUAUGGGUUGUAAACUGCUUUUAUACGGGAAUAAUAGAGUGUACGCGUACAUUUAUGCAAGUAUCGUAUGAAUAAGCAUCGGCUAACUCCGUG